GUGAAUUUGCUGAACGAGAACGGCGUCAUUCCUGGUAUCAAAGUUGACAAGGGUACCGUUGACCUUGCCGGAACCAACGGUGAAACCACCACCCAAGGGUUCGAUUCUCUUGGGGCACGCUGCUUCUCUCGGGGCACGCUGCCAGCAGUACUACAAGGCCGGUGCUAGGUUCGCCAAGUGGAGGGCUGUGCUUAAGAUUGGUCCCACCGAGCCGUCUGAGCUGUCCAUCCAGCAGAAUGCGCAGGGACUGGCCCGUUAUGCAAUUAUCUGUCAGGAGAAUGGCUUGGUCCCCAUUGUCGAGCCUGAGAUACUUACCGAUGGUUCCCACGAUAUUGCCAAGUGCGCCGCAGCCACGGAGAUGG
RNAcentral lists this long non-coding RNA (362 nucleotides) under Linum usitatissimum (flax). RNAcentral's name for it is "long non-coding RNA (LUSI_LNC006972)". Lineage: Eukaryota; Viridiplantae; Streptophyta; Magnoliopsida; Malpighiales; Linaceae. The record is from RNAcentral.